This 443-nucleotide ribosomal RNA is filed under the name uncultured bacterium. RNAcentral's name for it is "partial 16S ribosomal RNA". It matches the Rfam family "Bacterial small subunit ribosomal RNA", at positions 338 to 795 of the family's 1533-position model. The record is from RNAcentral.
CCUACGGGUGGCAGCAGUGGGGAAUAUUGGGCAAUGGGCGAAAGCCUGACCCAGCAAUGCCGCGUGAAUGAAGAAGGUCUUAGGAUUGUAAAAUUCUGUUCUAUGGGAAGAAAAAAAUGACGGUACCAUAGGAGGAAGCACCGGCUAACUACGUGCCAGCAGCCGCGGUCAUACGUAGGGGGCGAGCGUUGUCCGGAUUUACUGGGUGUAAAGGGCGUGUAGCCGGGUUGACAAGUCAGAUGUGAAAUCCUGCGGCUUAACCGCAGAACUGCAUUUGAAACUGUUGAUCUUGAGUACUGGAGGGGCAGACGGAAUUCCUAGUGUAGCGGUGAAAUGCGUAGAUAUUAGGAGGAACACCAGUGGCGAAGGCGGUCUGCUGGACAGCAACUGACGGUGAGGCGCGAAAGCGUGGGGAGCAAACAGGAUUAGAUACCCGAGUAGUC